GAUGAACGCUGACGGCGUGCCUAAUACAUGCAAGUCGAGCGAAUGGAUUAAGAGCUUGCUCUUAUGAAGUUAGCGGCGGACGGGUGAGUAACACGUGGAUAACCUGCCCAUAAGACUGGGAUAACUCCGGGAAACCGGGGCUAAUACCGGAUAACAUUUUGAACCGCAUGGUUCGAAAUUGAAAGGCGGCUUCGGCUGUCACUUAUGGAUGGACCCGCGUCGCAUUAGCUAGUUGGUGAGGUAACGGCUAACCAAGGCAACGAUGCGUAGCCGACCUGAGAGGGUGAUCGGCCACACUGGGACUGAGACACGGCCCAGACUCCUACGGGAGGCAGCAGUAGGGAAUCUUCCGCAAUGGACGAAAGUCUGACGGAGCAACGCCGCGUGAGUGAUGAAGGCUUUCGGGUCGUAAAACUCUGUUGUUAGGGGAGAACAAGUGCUAGUUGAAUAAGCUGGCACCUUGACGGUACCUAACCAGAAAGCCACGGCUAACUACGUGCCAGCCGCCGCGGUAA
This 515-nucleotide ribosomal RNA is filed under the name uncultured bacterium. Its description in RNAcentral is "partial 16S ribosomal RNA". It matches the Rfam family "Bacterial small subunit ribosomal RNA", at positions 28 to 523 of the family's 1533-position model. The record is from RNAcentral.